Molecule: ribosomal RNA, 496 nt
Filed under: uncultured bacterium
Lineage: Bacteria
Description: partial 16S ribosomal RNA
Rfam family: Bacterial small subunit ribosomal RNA
Source: RNAcentral
AUUGAACGCUGGCGGCAUGCUUUACACAUGCAAGUCGAACGGUAGAGGGGGCAACCCCUUGAGAGUGGCGAACGGGUGAGUAAUGCAUCGGAACGUGCCCAGUCGUGGGGGAUAACGCAGCGAAAGCUGUGCUAAUACCGCAUACGAUCUCUGGAUGAAAGCGGGGGACCGAAAGGCCUCGCGCGAUUGGAGCGGCCGAUGUCAGAUUAGGGAGUUGGUGGGGUAAAGGCUCACCAAGCCAACGAUCUGUAGCUGGUCUGAGAGGACGACCAGCCACACUGGGACUGAGACACGGCCCAGACUCCUACGGGGGGCAGCAGUGGGGAAUUUUGGACAAUGGGCGCAAGCCUGAUCCAGCAAUGCCGCGUGCAGGAAGAAGGCCUUCGGGUUGUAAACUGCUUUUGUACGGGACGAAAAGGUCUGGGUUAAUACCCUGGGCACAUGACGGUACCGUAAGAAUAAGCACCGGCUAACUACGUGCCAGCCGCCGCAGUAA